Molecule: unclassified non-coding RNA, 241 nt
Filed under: Hevea brasiliensis (rubber tree)
Lineage: Eukaryota; Viridiplantae; Streptophyta; Magnoliopsida; Malpighiales; Euphorbiaceae
Source: RNAcentral
UUUUUUUCUUUUUUUUUUUGAAAUUCUUCUCUAAGCUAAAUAAACAUGCUUUACUCUAAACUGAGAUAGUUAGCUGGUAUCGCUUUAAAAAAGGAACAAAAUACCAGAAAAUAGGUAUUUCACCAAUUAACAAUUCUCAGUAAAUGCAGUUUAAAUUAUAUAGAGAAAAACUGUGGAAGGGUUUAAAUUUUGUUUCAUAUUCAUAGCAUUUAAGCAACGAGAGAGAGAAAGAGAGAGAGAG